GUCUCAAUGAUUAUAUGCCUUUUAUAGGUAAUAUACGCUAUUCUCAUUGGUAUUGUUGCCAAUAAGAUGAAAACCUAAGAUGUAUAUGAGAC
Small nucleolar RNA from Papaver somniferum (opium poppy), 92 nucleotides. RefSeq annotates it as small nucleolar RNA U54. The record is from RefSeq and is a predicted model, not a curated record. The transcript has a single exon. NCBI's taxonomy places the organism in Eukaryota, Viridiplantae, Streptophyta, Magnoliopsida, Ranunculales, Papaveraceae.